Brachypodium distachyon (stiff brome) is the source of this 1542-nucleotide long non-coding RNA. RefSeq lists it as uncharacterized. The record is from RefSeq and is a predicted model, not a curated record. NCBI's taxonomy places the organism in Eukaryota, Viridiplantae, Streptophyta, Magnoliopsida, Poales, Poaceae. The transcript is spliced from 3 exons.
GAGCCAAGGAAAAUUGGAUCCCGUCCGCGUUCCCACGCGAUGUAUGCAAAAACAAAAGGCCAAUUCCCAACUCGAUCUCCUUUCCCUCCUCGUCUCGCUCCCCUCUCUGACCUUUCUUUCCGGCGUCACCGCAAUGGCCCUCGACCAGCCCCGGCCCCAUCCCCGACUGAAUUGAGGUCUUCGAGGCCGCCGCCCCCAUUCCCAUGGCGCCGCCGUCUACCGCCCAAAUCAUCCUUCCCCCGCGCCACGAUUUUGUGCCGCCGGGAGGUCGAGGAGCACCGCCGCCUCCCGGCCUCCUCGCGGACUUCCAGGUGCGUCGUCGUCCGCUCAGGCCCGCCGCCGCCGCUCGGUUUCGCGUGUGUGGCUGCUGCUCGCAUCCGCCGUCAUCGCUCGCGAUGUCGGCCCUCCACCGCCCCAUCACGCGCCCUCCGUAUCCCUAGCCGCGAGCCCUUCACAGCCCCAGCUCCAAACGCGCGCCCUCUGCAGCAGCCCAGGCGCGUCCUCCACCGUGCGCAUCAGCCCAAGCGGACCUCCGCAGCCGCCACGCAACCUCAAGCGGGACCUGCGCAACCGCUCUCAAUCGCCCUAUGGAUGGGACUAGAAGGCGGGUGCCGCCCACGACUACGGCAGCGCCGUCCCCGACUCCCCUGACGCCACUGAGCCGCGGGCCGCCGCUCGAUUCCGCGGCCGCCCACCACCGGCGCCACCAGCCGCUAGCUUCCGACCGCGCCCCGCCGCCGCCGUCGUUGUCCGCCUCGAGCCCUCUGUUCUGCAACUCCAGCAUCCGCGCCUGGCCGCCACUCACUGCCAAAUCCGGCCGCGCCCGACCCGGCUUCGGUCCAGUAACAGGCAACAGAGGUAUCAGGAGGUAGUCGCACAAUGAUCUCCUGACGGAACUAAAAAUCUUACUCGCAAAAUGAAAACUCUGAUUGCAAGUAAUUCGUCCGCAUGCUUAAAUUUUUGAGACCAGAAGGCGAGAAAAUAUGCAAUGUAGAACAUUUAGCGUAUGUAGUAGUAUAAUAACAUGAUAACUGAUGGAUUGGACCCAACUAUGAUCCCACUACGAGAGUGCUGUUCUUUAGUCUCCCUGGUCUUUUGGACUAAAGUGACACAGUAUUCCCAGUUUAGCGGUUUAAGUGUGCGUUUUUCGAGUUCGUGGACUAAAAUGUUUUUUUUGCGAGUUCAUGGACUGGUGGUGUAUUUUACUCUUUUCUCAAGGUCUUCGGAUUUUGUGUUGGAUGGUCAGUUCAUUAUGUGGAAAGAGGCCUUCUGGGUUUCUUCCAUCCAGAUUGUGUGAAUCAAUCAUUUAGGGAAUUGAACUGUUGAGAAGUUAAUUGUGCUACACAACGACACUUUUGUGACUGUUAAAGUAGCAUCAAGGAUCCUUAGCAUGUUCCUUCUCUGGCUGAUCAUUACCCUCCUUCUCUGAGACACCUAAUGGUGUUAUUCAUGACCAUCUAGAAUAGAAUGCAUAUAUCUAAUUGCUCAAUGCUUUUGUUCAAGAAAAAGUCUGGGAGAGGAAGUAAAUGAGACUAUUAUUAA